This 253-nucleotide ribosomal RNA is filed under the name uncultured bacterium. RNAcentral's name for it is "partial 16S ribosomal RNA". It matches the Rfam family "Bacterial small subunit ribosomal RNA", at positions 524 to 776 of the family's 1533-position model. The record is from RNAcentral.
UACGGAGGGGGCAAGCGUUAUUCGGAAUUACUGGGCGUAAAGGGCGCGCAGGCGGGUUGUUAAGUGAGAAGUGAAAGGCCUGGGCUUAACCGAGGAAUGGCUUCUCAUACUGGCAACCUAGAGUGUGGGAGAGGAGAGCGGAAUUCCCGGUGUAGCGGUGAAAUGCGUAGAGAUCGGGAGGAACACCAGUGGCGAAGGCGGCUCUCUGGACCACAACUGACGCUGAGGCGCGAAAGCGUGGGUAGCAAACAGG